RNAcentral lists this ribosomal RNA (478 nucleotides) under uncultured bacterium. RNAcentral's name for it is "partial 16S ribosomal RNA". It matches the Rfam family "Bacterial small subunit ribosomal RNA", at positions 28 to 523 of the family's 1533-position model. The record is from RNAcentral.
GACGAACGCUGGCGGCGUGCUUAACACAUGCAAGUCGAACGGUAAGGCCCUUCGGGGUACACGAGUGGCGAACGGGUGAGUAACACGUGGGUGAUCUGCCCUGUACUUCGGGAUAAGCCUGGGAAACUGGGUCUAAUACCGGAUAGGACCACUGCCUGCAUGGGUGGUGGUGGAAAGCUUUUGCGGUGUGGGAUGGGCCCGCGGCCUAUCAGCUUGUUGGUGGGGUGAUGGCCUACCAAGGCGACGACGGGUAGCCGGCCUGAGAGGGUGACCGGCCACACUGGGACUGAGAUACGGCCCAGCCUCCUACGGGAGGCAGCAGUGGGGAAUAUUGCACAAUGGGCGCAAGCCUGAUGCAGCGACGCCGCGUGAGGGAUGACGGCCUCCGGGUUGUAAACCUCUUUCAGCACCGACGAAGCGCAAGUGACGGUAGGUGCAGAAGAAGGACCGGCCAACUACGUGCCAGCCGCCGCCGUAA